AACGCGUCCUCAGACAGUGCCGAACAUCGCAAAUGCACAUCGGCUCCGGCAUUCUGUCGGGGUUCGAACCGUGUCCUAUGGUGAUUCUGCGAUUUCGCGACGCGGAGAAGAAGGGGAUUGAUUUCUUCAAAUGGCUCCAUAAGAGCUGCCCAUGUAUGUUGUCUGCCUUUGGGAAGAUGACCAAAAUUACUAGGGCGGCGUCAGAGGUUCCACACAU
Molecule: small nucleolar RNA, 217 nt
Filed under: Neurospora crassa
Lineage: Eukaryota; Fungi; Ascomycota; Sordariomycetes; Sordariales; Sordariaceae
Description: box H/ACA snoRNA ACA3
Source: RNAcentral